Podarcis lilfordi (Lilford's wall lizard) is the source of this 73-nucleotide non-coding RNA. Lineage: Eukaryota; Metazoa; Chordata; Lepidosauria; Squamata; Lacertidae. The record is from the annotation of a GenBank genome assembly.
UGGACUAUAGUUCAGUGGUAGAACAUCUGCUUUGCAUGUAGAAGGACCCAGGUUCAAUCCCCAGUAUUUCCAA